Vigna umbellata (rice bean) is the source of this 459-nucleotide non-coding RNA. The record is from RefSeq and is a predicted model, not a curated record. Lineage: Eukaryota; Viridiplantae; Streptophyta; Magnoliopsida; Fabales; Fabaceae.
UUUAUGCUUCCAAUAAUAUCCACAGGUAAGCUACAAAGAAGACGCUCUACGGGAGAAUAUUAGUGCAUUUAUGAACGCUGUAUUACUUGCGAAGCCUGCUGGCUUAAAGAAGACUUCCAAAUAUGCUGGGUAUGUGCUGUCUGUCCAUAUAAGCAGCACGAUGGGCCCAGGAUUUCCUGUAUCAAUACAAUCAUUAUCCAAAGCUGCAGAUAACUACAAGAAAACGCAUGUGGUAUGAAUCACGUGGAUAUGUCAAAUGUAGGCAUUCGACAUGAAUCCAACUUUAGAUGAACAUAUAUCGUAGUGUUUUUGUUCAUUACUUUUGAUUUUGUAAGCUGUUUAGUGAUGUAUGUGACAAUAAGCGAAAAUUUUGACAUUGUACGAGCUUGUUGAAUUUUCUGGUUAUGUAUCAUUUUCCUCAUUGCACCACCGAAAAUCUUGGCUUACCAAAUUAAUUCA